ACCCCAUUGUUCCAGGUACUUUAAUGCUGGCAAUUUAAAAAGAUGGGAAUCUUCGACAGUUGUCAGAGGAUUACGACUGAGAAUUCUGAAAAAUGCAAUGCAAUUAAAUGCAUUUUCAAUAUCUCUGAGACUACAUGAAAGUUUUGAAACAUGCUUAUCUUCUAUUCCACUUACACUUGCUGUAAAAACUGCAUUCCAUGCCAUGCCUGAAAUGUUCCAAAGUUCAACUCUGUGAUUACAUUGCAACCAAGAUUUCUACAAAAAGAAAAAGCCAAAGAAGAAGACAACUGCUUCAGUUGUACAGUGGUGGGACAACAAAAACAACAUGAACUUGGAUUCUUACUUGAAAACAGCCAUCCUUUGCAACAGGUAAUUCUCCUCCUUCCUCCAUUCCAGCUUGUCCCUCACUGUUCACCUGGAUGGGUGUAACUGUCCUGACUGAUUCCUACCUCUACUCUCUCCCCUUCUAGUCAGUUCUGAAUAGUCACCAGAUAGACUCUCCAGAAGUGGUUCUCGAACACCUCCAUUACUGGGGAAUUUUUUGUUUCAUUUUUGAGAGAGGGUGUUAGUAUGUAGGUCAGGAUGACCUUGAGCUCUUGCUCUUCCUGCCCCAGCCUCUCCAGUGUUGGGAUCACAGGGAUGUACUACCAUGCCCAACUUGUUUUUGGUUUUUGAGACAAGGUCUUACUGUGUAGCCCAGGUGGCCUGGAACUUUCUACAUAGCCUAGGUUGGGCUUGAACUUGGGAUCCUCCUGCUUCAGAAUCCCAUGUGCUGGGAUCACAGGCAUUUACCACCACCCCUGCCAUCUGGGAACUUUCAAGGAUGCAAAUUCUCAGCCUCCUACAAACUUACUGAACCAGUAACUGUCGGCGUCGUGUCCAGAAACAAGUUGUAACAAGCCCUCCAUGAAACUCUGAAGCAGGAUCAAGAUUGUCUUACAGCAUGGCUCUGAUAAUGUGGUUCCCCAUCUCGACUCCUUUGCUUGGCAUUCAAAGUCUUAGAUGGUCUGCUUACAAUCUCCUACUCUCCUUCUCUUCUACUCUACAGGUACUCAUGGCAUUCCUCAAGCACUUUCUUGCCUUUUGCCUUUCUCCCACUCUACUUCUGCAGAGUUUUAGAGAGAGACAUUUCCCCAAGAUACCUCUCUGACGAUUCCCUGGGGCCCUUUAAGGUUCUGUUCCAGCAGCGUUGCUCUGGGAACAAUUUUCCUGACCCAGUUCAAAGUAUUUUUCUUCUCAUUUGUGGUUUUGAUACAAUUUAUACCCUUUUUAAUGUUUCUAUGGCUUAUGGUUUAAUGGUUAUUUUUCCAUCCCAUUUCUCCUUGACAGCAUGCACUAGGUCUUGCUUGUCUGCCUUGCCAAGCACACCCAAUAUUUAUAAACUCAAUCACUAGCUGGGGAGUGAGCAGGAGAAGAAAAAUGACUACUUAAAAGGCAUGGAGUUUAUUUCUUCCUGACCAACCUCUUCUGCACCUUUGCUGUAGUAUGGUUUAAGGUUAUGCAUUUGUUUUCCCUGGGAGCCCAUGAAGGGUUGAUGAUUCAAAGGACUGUAUUUUGUGCCAUGUGAGGCUCUUUAUACUCACUUCCAAAAGUCUUCUUCUUUUGAAAGGAGAACUAUUUGAAAAAAGCUAAUUAGAUUAGUAAGCUAAUUAAUGUAAGCAUUAAUAACCUUAAUGAAGUACACACAAACGCACCCCCUGGACAAAGGACAAAAAUCAAACUUUCAAGGCAAAGAACAUAGUACUUUCUUAUCUCCGAACAGACAGAAAUACUAUGCAAAUAGUCCCUCCUCAUUCACAAAAGCUGCUGAGAUUUUUAUUUUGUACUCAGUGAAGAGUUAGGGCAGCCAGGUGUGGUGGCUACUUGGGAUCUGAGGUUUGAGGCCAGAACAGAGAAGCUAGUGAGACCAGAUCCACUUAAAAAAAAAAAAAAA
Molecule: non-coding RNA, 1933 nt
Organism: Castor canadensis (American beaver)
Lineage: Eukaryota; Metazoa; Chordata; Mammalia; Rodentia; Castoridae
Source: RefSeq, a predicted model, not a curated record